CAUAUGCAUUCAGCACUUGCAUAAUCAGCAUCAGAGAUGUUUCAUCUGAGGAUGAGAAAAUAAUCAUGUCAUCUGCAUACGCCAAAUGAUUGAUCUUUGGACUCCACUUUGGCAUCCCAAAUCCACAAAAAUACAGAUGCUUGGUUAUGAACUGUUGGAUUGUUUGUUGCUGCAUUAGCUGCCACCAUUGCCAAUUGAUUAACAGGUGGACGAAUGGGAAUUGGCUCAACUUCCUGUUGCUCAUGCAUUGCAGCAUUUACAGUGCAAGGUUUCAGAAUUUU
This is a non-coding RNA of Nicotiana tabacum (common tobacco), 281 nucleotides long. The record is from RefSeq and is a predicted model, not a curated record. Lineage: Eukaryota; Viridiplantae; Streptophyta; Magnoliopsida; Solanales; Solanaceae.